This 362-nucleotide ribosomal RNA is filed under the name uncultured bacterium. RNAcentral's name for it is "partial 16S ribosomal RNA". It matches the Rfam family "Bacterial small subunit ribosomal RNA", at positions 338 to 698 of the family's 1533-position model. The record is from RNAcentral.
CCUACGGGAGGCAGCAGUGAGGAAUAUUGGUCAAUGGCCGGAAGGCUGAACCAGCCAAGUCGCGUGAGGGACGACUGCCCUCUGGGUUGUAAACUUCUUUUAUAAGGGCAGAAUAAAUGCUACGUGUAGCAUGAUGCCUGUACCUUAUGAAUAAGCAUCGGCUAACUCCGUGCCAGCAGCCGCGGUAAUACGGAGGAUGCGAGGGUUAUCCGGAUUUAUUGGGUUUAAAGGGUGGGUAGGGGGUUUGUUAAGUUAGUGGUUAAACGGCGGGGCUUAACCUUGAUUUGCCAUUAAUACUGUAAGACUCGAGUUCUGGCGAGGUAGGCGGAAUUCGGUGAGUAGCGGUGAAAUGCUUAGAUAUA